GACGAACGCUGGCGGCGUGCUUAACACAUGCAAGUCGAACGGAAAGGCCCCUUUUGGGGUACUCGAGUGGCGAACGGGUGAGUAACACGUGAGUAACCUUCCCUUGACUUCGGGAUAACUUCAGGAAACUGGGGCUAAUACCGGAUAGGAAUCCUUGCUGCAUGGUGGGGGUUGGAAAGCUUCGGCGGUUUUGGAUGGACUCGCGGCUUAUCAGCUUGUUGGUGGGGUAGUGGCUUACCAAGGCUUUGACGGGUAGCCGGCCUGAGAGGGCGACCGGCCACAUUGGGACUGAGAUACGGCCCAGACUCCUACGGGAGGCAGCAGUGGGGAAUAUUGCACAAUGGGCGGAAGCCUGAUGCAGCAACGCCGCGUGCGGGAUGACGGCCUUCGGGUUGUAAACCGCUUUCAGCAGGGGAGAAGCUUGUGGUGACGGUACCUGCAGAAGAAGCACCGGCUAACUACGUG
This 465-nucleotide ribosomal RNA is filed under the name uncultured bacterium. Its description in RNAcentral is "partial 16S ribosomal RNA". It matches the Rfam family "Bacterial small subunit ribosomal RNA", at positions 28 to 507 of the family's 1533-position model. The record is from RNAcentral.